This 305-nucleotide ribosomal RNA is filed under the name uncultured bacterium. Its description in RNAcentral is "bacterial SSU rRNA". It matches the Rfam family "Bacterial small subunit ribosomal RNA", at positions 334 to 640 of the family's 1533-position model. The record is from RNAcentral.
GAUACCUACGGGACGCAGCAGUGAGGAAUAUUGGUCAAUGGCCGAGAGGCUGAACCAGCCAAGUCGCGUGAGGGAAGAAUGUCCUAAGGAUUGUAAACCUCUUUUGUCGGGGAGCAAAAAGGCUCUGCGGAGUCGUAUUGAGAGUACCCGAAGAAAAAGCAUCGGCUAACUCCGUGCCAGCAGCCGCGGUAAUACGGAGGAUGCGAGCGUUAUCCGGAUUUAUUGGGUUUAAAGGGUGCGCAGGCGGUCUGUUAAGUCAGCGGUCAAAGCCCGGGGCUCAACCCCGGCCCGCCGUUGCAAAUGGG